RNAcentral lists this ribosomal RNA (621 nucleotides) under uncultured bacterium. Its description in RNAcentral is "bacterial SSU rRNA". It matches the Rfam family "Bacterial small subunit ribosomal RNA", at positions 202 to 842 of the family's 1533-position model. The record is from RNAcentral.
CAAAGGAGCAACCGCUGAAAGAUGGGCUCGCGUCCGAUUAGGUAGUUGGUGAGGUAACGGCCCACCAAGCCGACGAUCGGUAGCCGGACUGAGAGGUUGAACGGCCACAUUGGGACUGAGACACGGCCCAGACUCCUACGGGAGGCAGCAGUAAGGGAUAUUGGUCAAUGGGGGAAACCCUGAACCAGCAACGCCGCGUGAGGGAAGACGGUUUUCGGAUUGUAAACCUCUGUCCUCUGUGAAGAUGAUGACGGUAGCAGAGGAGGAAGCUCCGGCUAACUACGUGCCAGCAGCCGCGGUAAUACGUAGGGAGCGAGCGUUGUCCGGAUUUACUGGGUGUAAAGGGUGCGUAGGCGGCUGUGCAAGUCAGUAGUGAAAUCCAUGGGCUUAACCCAUGAACUGCUAUUGAAACUGCACAGCUUGAGUGAAGUAGAGGUAGGCGGAAUUCCCGGUGUAGCGGUGAAAUGCGUAGAGAUCGGGAGGAACACCAGUGGCGAAGGCGGCCUACUGGGCUUUAACUGACGCUGAGGCACGAAAGCGUGGGUAGCAAACAGGAUUAGAUACCCUGGUAGUCCACGCUGUAAACGAUGAUUACUAGGUGUGGGGGGACUGAACCCUUCC